AUUGAACGCUGGCGGAAUGCUUUACACAUGCAAGUCGAACGGCAGCACGGGAGCUUGCUCCUGGUGGCGAGUGGCGAACGGGUGAGUAAUGCGUCGGAACGUACCGAGUAAUGGGGGAUAACGCACCGAAAGGUGUGCUAAUACCGCAUACGCCCUGAGGGGGAAAGUGGGGGAUCGCAAGACCUCACGUUAUUCGAGCGGCCGACGUCUGAUUAGCUAGUUGGUGGGGUAAAGGCCUACCAAGGCGACGAUCAGUAGCGGGUCUGAGAGGAUGAUCCGCCACACUGGAACUGAGACACGGUCCAGACUCCUACGGGAGGCAGCAGUGGGGAAUUUUGGACAAUGGGGGAAACCCUGAUCCAGCCAUUCCGCGUGAGUGAAGAAGGCCUUCGGGUUGUAAAGCUC
RNAcentral lists this ribosomal RNA (405 nucleotides) under uncultured bacterium. RNAcentral describes it as "bacterial SSU rRNA". It matches the Rfam family "Bacterial small subunit ribosomal RNA", at positions 30 to 433 of the family's 1533-position model. The record is from RNAcentral.